Molecule: small nuclear RNA, 20 nt
Filed under: Arabidopsis thaliana (thale cress)
Lineage: Eukaryota; Viridiplantae; Streptophyta; Magnoliopsida; Brassicales; Brassicaceae
Description: snRNA_10050
Source: RNAcentral
AGCCCUUUGUCGCUAAGAUU